This 298-nucleotide ribosomal RNA is filed under the name uncultured bacterium. RNAcentral's name for it is "partial 16S ribosomal RNA". It matches the Rfam family "Bacterial small subunit ribosomal RNA", at positions 524 to 821 of the family's 1533-position model. The record is from RNAcentral.
UACGUAUGUCGCAAGCGUUAUCCGGAUUUAUUGGGCGUAAAGCGCGUCUAGGCGGAAAAAUAAGUCUGAUGUUAAAAUGCGGGGCUCAACUCCGUAUUGCGUUGGAAACUGUUUUUCUAGAGUACUGGAGAGGUGGGCGGAACUACAAGUGUAGAGGUGAAAUUCGUAGAUAUUUGUAGGAAUGCCGAUGGAGAAGUCAGCUCACUGGACAGAUACUGACGCUAAAGCGCGAAAGCGUGGGGAGCAAACAGGAUUAGAUACCCGUGUAGUCCGGAACUAGAAACCCGGGUAGUCCGCC